Molecule: ribosomal RNA, 595 nt
Filed under: uncultured organism
Description: bacterial SSU rRNA
Rfam family: Bacterial small subunit ribosomal RNA
Source: RNAcentral
ACUCCUACGGGAGGCAGCAGUGAGGAAUAUUGGUCAAUGGACGCAAGUCUGAACCAGCCAUGCCGCGUGAAGGAUGAAGGCCUUCUGGGUUGUAAACUUCUUUUAUUGGGGAAGAAAAUUACGGUUUCUACUGUAACCGACGGUACCCAAGGAAUAAGCACCGGCUAACUCCGUGCCAGCAGCCGCGGUAAUACGGAGGGUGCAAGCGUUAUCCGGAUUCACUGGGUUUAAAGGGUGUGUAGGCGGGCAUUUAAGUCAGUGGUGAAAUCUCCGAGCUCAACUCGGAAACUGCCAUUGAUACUAUUUGUCUUGAAUAUCGUUGAGGUUGGCGGAAUAUAUCAUGUAGCGGUGAAAUGCUUAGAUAUGAUAUAGAACACCGAUUGCGAAGGCAGCUAACUAAGCGAUGAUUGACGCUGAGGCACGAAAGCGUGGGGAUCAAACAGGAUUAGAUACCCUGGUAGUCCACGCCCUAAACGAUGAUUACUCGACAUACGCGAUACACAGUGUGUGUCUGAGCGAAAGCAUUAAGUAAUCCACCUGGGAAGUACGUCCGCAAGGAUGAAACUCAAAGGAAUUGACGGGGGUCCGCACAAGC